UGCUUUUGUAGUUGAAGUACAACAGUGGUUUUUCAUAUCAUUGGUUAUGGUUAUAGUCCAUGCAGAAGUAA
RNAcentral lists this transfer RNA (71 nucleotides) under Mycoplasmopsis arginini. RNAcentral describes it as "Mycoplasma arginini tRNA-Glu(ttc)". It matches the Rfam family "tRNA". Rfam says of the family: Transfer RNA (tRNA) molecules are approximately 80 nucleotides in length. Their secondary structure includes four short double-helical elements and three loops (D, anti-codon, and T loops). RNAcentral also lists the same sequence under 1 other name. The record is from RNAcentral. Lineage: Bacteria; Bacillati; Mycoplasmatota; Mycoplasmoidales; Metamycoplasmataceae.